CUCACCGAACCUAACAAUCCACCCGGGGACAGCAUCGGGCCACGUCAAUAUCUAAAGCGAAACGAGUAAAUACAGAAUGGUUGGAGUCUGGAAUGUACAGACAGAAGAGGUGGUGGACGUAUGUCUCUUACAACAUUUAAGAUACACCCAGCAAAGGAAGAUGAGAUUUGAAAGGGGUGUUGAAGAAUAUAAGUAGCACAGUGGACAGCCAGCACCUUUUGCCCCAGGGCAAUACUAGAGGACAUCCUUUUAAGAUAUCCAAUGGCCAAAGACUACCUUUCACACCAUCAAUAACAGCAAUUUUUUCAUCCAAAUUACUGAUAUUUCCUGGAUCCCCUAGAUCUUACCUUUGAACGAGCCUCCCUGCCAUAGGCCUUAUUGAAGUCCAUGUAAACUACCCUGACAAACCUCCUCAAAAAUCUGUUUUAGAACAUCACAAUAAAGACACAUGCAUAUCCUUGAUCAAUCGCUACCUUUGUAAGUACUGAUUAAUUUCAUCCCCCAGAAAUAUUUACUAAAUUUUCUGGCACUGGUAUUAGACUCACUGGGUAUCAUCACAUCUGACUUGUUCCUCCUAAGUACCACCUUCAAUGUACCUCAUUCACCUGGCAUCUCUUCUGUAACGGCCUGGUGCAGAGCCAACAACCUGUCUCUGAAUGUGAACAAAACAAACGAGAUGGUUGUUGACUUCAGGAGGGCACGGAGCGAACACUCCCUGCUGAACAUCGAUGGCUCCUCGGUAGAGAUCGUUAAGAGCACCAAAUUUCUUGGUGUUCACCUGGCGGAGAAUCUCACCUGGUCCCUCAACACCAGCUCCAUAGCAAAGAAAGCCCAGCAGCAUCUCUACUUUCUGAGAAGGCUGAGGA
Molecule: long non-coding RNA, 866 nt
Organism: Hypanus sabinus (Atlantic stingray)
Lineage: Eukaryota; Metazoa; Chordata; Chondrichthyes; Myliobatiformes; Dasyatidae
Exons: 4
Source: RefSeq, a predicted model, not a curated record